This 440-nucleotide ribosomal RNA is filed under the name uncultured bacterium. RNAcentral's name for it is "bacterial SSU rRNA". It matches the Rfam family "Bacterial small subunit ribosomal RNA", at positions 338 to 792 of the family's 1533-position model. The record is from RNAcentral.
CCUACGGGUGGCUGCAGUCGAGAAUCUUCCGCAAUGCACGAAAGUGUGACGGAGCGACGCCGCGUGGUUGAUGAAGUCCUUCGGGGCGUAAAGACCUUUUAUGUGGGAAGAAGUUUUGACGGUACCACAUGAAUAAGAGGCUGCUAAUCUCGUGCCAGCAGCAGCGGUAACACGAGAGCCUCAAGCGUUAUCCGGAAUUAUUGGGCGUAAAGGGUGUGUAGGCGGUUGCAUUAGUCUCAUGUCAAAGCCUCUGGCUUAACCAGAGAUCCGCAUGGGAAACGGUGCAACUAGGAGGGUGCGAGAGGUGAAUGGAACUCACGGUGUAGGGGUGAAAUCCGUUGAUAUCGUGGGGAACGCCAAAAGCGAAGGCAAUUCACUGGCGCAUACCUGACGCUGAGACACGAAAGCCAGGGUAUCGAAUGGGAUUAGAUACCCUUGUA